Molecule: long non-coding RNA, 2125 nt
Filed under: Nicotiana tabacum (common tobacco)
Lineage: Eukaryota; Viridiplantae; Streptophyta; Magnoliopsida; Solanales; Solanaceae
Description: long non-coding RNA (NTAB_LNC006482)
Source: RNAcentral
UGAUUGACUGGGUCAACAACACCAUAUUAAUUCGAAUAUGAGCUUAAACCAAUAUUUACUAACAUGAUCUAACAAGAGAUAUGGAUUAUCAAUGACCAGUUCCAACUGCCCAUUGCCUAAACCAAUUAACAGCCCAUAAAUUAACUACAACAUCAGUCCUAUUAUUACAUAUCCGGUACAAAUUUAAUCAUUCCAAAUGAACACCAAGGAAACAGUGUAUGACUUAAAGUAACAACACAAUACUUGCACUUCAAUCUCUUUUUCAAUUCAGUUUUAUUCAGCUUGUAAACACAUACACCACUCAAUGCUAGAGAUAAGUACCUGGAAGUAACGAAACAAAUGGGGAAUAAGAAGGAUCAGCAACAGGCAGCAGAAAUAAUUGAACCGCAGUAAUAGUUUCAACCCAGCAAGCAGAUCAGCAACCCAAGUACCAAACAAGAAGGAGAAAUUGACCAAAACAGCAUUAAUGCCAAACAAACGAACUCAAAUGGCAUCCAUAGGCAUCAGCAACCAUCAAACUCCAAUAAAUCCCAGUUUAAUUCAAUCCAAAAUGCUUAAUAACAAACCAACAUGGUCCAGAGCACUCUAACAAUCAAAGGAGAAGAAAAUCGAUCAAAACUAAGUCCCAAAACCAAUGUAACAGUGAUUUGUAUAUUUGCUGGGAUUUUAUCUACUUUCUUUUGGGUUUUUUUCUCGAAUGUACCGGGAGUUUCAGAUCCAGUAUUUCUAAUCUGAGAUUCAAAACUAACCUGGGAAGCUUAGACUAAAUUUUUGUUUUUUUUUUAUUUUUUUGAGGGGAUUUUGGGGCUCUCAGCUGAAGGAAGAAGACCUCUUCCCUAAGGCAUUUCAUGCCCUUUUAUAGGCAACAAGAGAGAGUAGAUCAAAUUUUAGGCCUUCUUUUUUAGUGCCUCCCUUAUUUUCAGUUUAGUCCCUCUAUUCUUGACUUGCUAAACAAGUAAAUGCAUCACAAUUAUUGAAAUCUACACUUGUACCCCAUUCUAGAAGCCUCUAGGAUGCUCUUUUAGCUAAGCAAUUCCUAUACUACCUUUACUCCUGCUUUGAAAUUACAAGUCCUUAAAGAAACUACCCAUUUCAUCCAACUAGAAUUACUAUCUUGUUUUCAGCUAUAACCAUACUACUCAAACAGCCGAGAUUUAAACAAAACUUCAAACAUUUACCCCAAAUCAAACAAAAUUCCGAACAAUCCAAUUAUUAAAACAAACUACUUAGCAUGAAGCCACCAACCAAAGAAGCCCCGAUUAAUUCAGAGUUUGAACUAAUCGACUGACAAGCCCACGCCCAAUAUUGAUAGAAAUAUAUGAAGAAUAAACAAAUACACAAACUAUUCUAAUCGAAUUCACUAGCUAAACCCACAGACAACAGAAAGCGUGAGGCCAUGACUUCUAAUCCUAACUGAUUGUUCAACAAACAAGGUUAUGAAUUAAACUAAUUGACAUUCAACUAAACUAAUCAACACAAAACAAAACUGAACAAAGCGAUGAACAAAGAAACUCACCGAUGGAGGGAAAACUCCGGCCAACCACUGUCGUCCGAAUCUUUCCAGAUUUUUGACACGUAGCAUCCCUAACCAUGUGUUUUCACAAGAAAACACAUGGUUAAGGAUAUUACGGUCCAAAGUCACAAAGAUUUUGCGUUAGGGUUUUUGGCCGGAAAAUUUAAAAUUGAUAUUUGAACCAAUCUAGGAAGAUUUGAGACCAACGGGUAUGGGGAUUGGGUAGAGUAGGUUCCGGCGGUCACAAGGUAUAAAUUUGAUGGUGAUUGGGUUACUUUGAGUUUUGGCAGGAAACCUUUGAUCAAAGAUUCGAUGAUCUAGGGAUAGAUUUGAAGGAAACGGAUGGUGGAUUCAUGACGAGGGGGAAGAGGAGGUCUCGUGAUGUUAUUUUGGUGGUCGAUGGCAUAAAUGGCGUUUCCCGCCGGCGAGGAUUCCGGCGAGCUCAAGGCUGUACGAGGAAGGAGGCAUCUGUCUCUAGGGUUUGUGAGUGUCCUUCAGACACUUUUAUUCAAAAUUUAUAUGGACUCUGAACCGUUGAUACAAGGCAGAUGAACGGUCAGGAUCGUAUCGCUUACAAAACGACGUCGUUUGGGUUAGGAUAGGGGUAGGCCA